CCUACGGGAGGCAGCAGUGAGGAAUAUUGGUCAAUGGGCGAGAGCCUGAACCAGCCAAGUAGCGUGAAGGAUGACUGCCCUAUGGGUUGUAAACUUCUUUUAUAAGAGAAUAAAGUCAGUUACGUGUAACUGUUUGCAUGUAUCUUAUGAAUAAGGAUCGGCUAACUCCGUGCCAGCAGCCGCGGUAAU
This 189-nucleotide ribosomal RNA is filed under the name uncultured bacterium. RNAcentral describes it as "partial 16S ribosomal RNA". It matches the Rfam family "Bacterial small subunit ribosomal RNA", at positions 338 to 524 of the family's 1533-position model. The record is from RNAcentral.